UCCGUCCCUAGAGGCACUGCAGGUGUGGAUGCUAUAUCACAUCUGCAUCCAUAAGUUGCAGAGAUGGGAGAGGCUAGCCUGGCUGUGUUCGGAUCUGAUCUGAGUGAUCAGUAGCCUAACAUC
Molecule: small nucleolar RNA, 123 nt
Organism: Rattus norvegicus (Norway rat)
Lineage: Eukaryota; Metazoa; Chordata; Mammalia; Rodentia; Muridae
Product: small nucleolar RNA SNORA17
Source: Ensembl